GGUUCCUGUGUGCGUGUGUGCGAGUAACGCAUCUAUUCCAGCGAGGAUCUUGGUGGAGAGCCUGGGCAGCCUUCACAGGUGGAGCUCAUUGGCCUCAUCAGAGUGCUGGGGAUAAAGGAGCAGCAGAGCCUUCACUCAGCGCUGGAUGAUUAAUGUCUACUGGUAGUCAUUCUGGCCACCUCUUGUUGUCGGCUAUUUUUAGCUUUUGAUCAGUCUCUUGAGAACCAACCUGAAGUUCAUAGUUCUUGUUUUUGCUUCCUUUAGGUUUUUGUCACUGGAUCUCUCUAGAAGAAUCAGUUCAACUGUUUCCCCUCCUGUGAAACUCCCCAGCAAGUACCAACCUACCUGCCUGCUCCACCAUUCCCCCUCAUCUCCGCACAGGACCCCUGGGCACCUUUCUUCCACGCUUCACCAAGUCCAUUCAAAAACGCCACGGAUCGCAUGACACUGCCACUCCCUGAUACAUCAAGGAGACCUGUAAAUUGUUGCUUGUUGUUUGAGGGAAAUAAAACCUAUACCU
Long non-coding RNA from Xiphophorus hellerii (green swordtail), 520 nucleotides. RefSeq lists it as uncharacterized. The transcript is spliced from 2 exons. NCBI's taxonomy places the organism in Eukaryota, Metazoa, Chordata, Actinopteri, Cyprinodontiformes, Poeciliidae. The record is from RefSeq and is a predicted model, not a curated record.